AAGCCCCGGCAGACGACUAGCCUGCUCCUUUAGAUCUGCAGUCUAAUAUGCAAAACACCUCGGGGCU
RNAcentral lists this transfer RNA (67 nucleotides) under Channa lucius. RNAcentral describes it as "tRNA-Cys". The record is from RNAcentral. Lineage: Eukaryota; Metazoa; Chordata; Actinopteri; Anabantiformes; Channidae.